Molecule: long non-coding RNA, 998 nt
Organism: Carassius gibelio (silver crucian carp)
Lineage: Eukaryota; Metazoa; Chordata; Actinopteri; Cypriniformes; Cyprinidae
Exons: 5
Source: RefSeq, a predicted model, not a curated record
UUAACCGCUGAUUAGAGAACCAGCUUUACUGACGAGAUGCACAUAACGAUCGGCCGAUCGUGAUCGGAGCAGCUCUAAUUUUAUUCGUUCAAGAUUAAGUUGAGGUAAAAGUGUUGUUUUAGGUAAAUGUUUCGAAAACUACACUAAUAUUUAUCUGAUAUAUCCUGCACGCACAGGUCUUUCAACGUAAGUAACGUACGUUAGGGGAUUCAACGACGGCAAAUGAAUUAUUAUGCAUCAAUCCGUAGUCUUGGCAGGUGUAAAGCACUUGAUACCAAAGUGCACAUCUUGUUGCAUAUUGUAUCAUUGCCCCUUGUGCCCUACACUGAAGCCAAUGAUUAAAAAGAGAGUCCAGGCUCACUGGGAAGUCCAUUUAAAAAAUGCGAUCAUAUUCCAAGAUAAAAGAUUAUGCAGAUGCCAUUUGGCCUGCAGAACAGAGGCCCAUUUCCAUUGCCCUACUUGCAGUAAAACUGUUCUUAGGAGACUCAGUGCACGUCCUCACCUGUACCAGGAUCUGCAUCGGCUCUGUGUAAAUCCACACCUGCACCGACUCCGUUUUUCAUUUAAAGUCUGCAUUGUACAUAGUGCUGGAUGCCCCAUUUGACUACACAAUUCUGGACAUGGCAGAGCUGAGGAAAUGGUGGUGCGUCAUGUUAAUGGAGAACUUCAGACUGGAACAACAUGGAAAAUUGUUUGCCCACUAUGCUGAGGAGUCCAAAGCCUUCCUUAGAGGUGAGCAGCAGCCUGUAUUUCGGUUGCGAAAAAGGAGGUUUGAAGAAAUCUCUCCGGUAAAAGCUAAUACUUGGGAAUCAUCAUAAGGUUAAAAUGGCAUGUUAUCAUGACAAACCAGGUAAACCUGUGCUGUAUUUUUACCAAUAACAGGAAGAGCCUUUCCACGUACAGGUAACAUGUUAUCUUUUAGCAGCCCCUCAGGAAAAUUACCAGUUACCUUAAAAAGGUAGUUCUAAAGGUAAUGGCUCAAACUCAGAAUUUGUGUU